This 1209-nucleotide long non-coding RNA is filed under the name Medicago truncatula (barrel medic). RNAcentral's name for it is "long non-coding RNA (MTRU_LNC005639)". The record is from RNAcentral. Lineage: Eukaryota; Viridiplantae; Streptophyta; Magnoliopsida; Fabales; Fabaceae.
GCUAACUCAACUGUUGCAGCUGCAAUCACAGUUAUUAAUAGGAUGGUUGUUGAAAACAAUCUAGAAAAAGGGAGUGCUUUGUGGUGUUUUGCACCUACUCUGAUUGAGAAUGAAGUGAGACGGGACAUUUUUAUGAACAUUGAGGAUGAUGAUGGAAGGAAAUCUUGGUUGAUGUAUAUGCAGGCUAAUCAGAAGUGAUUUCAAUUAGUGUAUUUUUAGUGGAUAUGUAAUAUUUAAAACUUCUAUGAGCAUCAUAUGUUUGAAUUAUGAGAUGGGAACUAUGUGUUUCCUUUUUUUUUUUUAAUCAUGAGAUAGAAAUUAUUUAUUUUUUAUUUCUGAAUGAUUGUUUUUAUAUGGUUAUGGAUGUUUUAUAUCGUUCUUUUACUAGUAGGUAAUCAUGGAUGCCGAACGAAAGAAAAAAAGAAAAAGGCAUGCACUUUUUUGGAGUGUGACAUCUUGUGCAAUAGGUGCAAUAGCUACAUAUUACUAUAAAUAUAUUUUCAAAAAACCAUGCAGGAGAAAAUUGGGUGCCAGAGAUACUAAAUGGGCAUCCUGUUCGAUGUUUAAAUGCCUUUAGAAUGGAGCAAAACUUAUUUAACCAAUUAUGUGAAGACCUACAAUCCAAAUAUGGAUUGAAGGCAAGUAAAAGAAUGUCAGUGCAUCAAAAAGUGGCGAUAUUUUUAUAUAUACUUGCAAGGGGUGCCUCUAAUAGGGAUGCUAGAGAGCGAUUUCAACAUUCUGGCGAGACUAUUAGUAGAGCAUUUCACGAAGUUUUGGAAGCCAUUAGUGGUAGGAGCAAGGGAUAUAUGGGACUUGCACGUGAUGUUAUAAAACCAAAGGAUCCAACUUUUCAAUUUGUGCCACCACAAAUUGCUGAUGAUGAGCAAUACAUGCCCUAUUUCAAGGUAAAUACUAAAAUAUAAAUAGUUUUUUUUUCAUCUCAAAAUGAGCAGCUGAUUUAACUUGUUAUCAUAGGAUUGUAUUGGAUGUAUUGACGGGACCCAUAUCCCUGCAUGUAUUCCGGAGGCAGAUCAAAUGCGUUAUAGAGGAAGAAAAGGAAUCCCUACCUUCAAUGUCAUGGCCAGUUGUGAUUUUGAUAUGUGUUUCACAUUUAUAUCAGUUGGAUGGAGGGAUCAGCACAUCACACACGUGUUUUCCUUCAUGCAAUCAACACACCAGCAUUAAACUUUCCAAAGCCACCACAAGGUA